Molecule: transfer RNA, 72 nt
Filed under: Toxocara canis (dog roundworm)
Lineage: Eukaryota; Metazoa; Nematoda; Chromadorea; Rhabditida; Toxocaridae
Rfam family: tRNA
About the family: Transfer RNA (tRNA) molecules are approximately 80 nucleotides in length. Their secondary structure includes four short double-helical elements and three loops (D, anti-codon, and T loops).
Source: Rfam by way of RNAcentral
CGGGCAGUAGGUCAGUGGUAGAUCUCCCGCUUCGAAUGCGGGGAGACCUGGGUUCGAUUGCCGGCUGCUUAC